RNAcentral lists this ribosomal RNA (504 nucleotides) under uncultured bacterium. RNAcentral describes it as "partial 16S ribosomal RNA". It matches the Rfam family "Bacterial small subunit ribosomal RNA", at positions 30 to 523 of the family's 1533-position model. The record is from RNAcentral.
AUUGAACGCUGGCGGCAUGCCUUACACAUGCAAGUCGAACGGCAGCAUGGAGAGCUUGCUCUCUGAUGGCGAGUGGCGUACGGGUGAGUAAUGCAUCGGAACGUACCGUGCAAUUGGGGAUAACGUAGCGAAAGUUACGCUAAUACCGCAUACGACCUGAGGGUGAAAGCAGGGGAUCGCAGGACCUUGCGUAAUACGUGCGGCCGAUGUCAGAUUAGCUAGUUGGUGAGGUAAAGGCUCACCAAGGCGACGAUCUGUAGCGGGUUUGAGAGGAUGAUCCGCCACACUGGGACUGAGACACGGCCCAGACUCCUACGGGAGGCAGCAGUGGGGAAUUUUGGACAAUGGGGGCAACCCUGAUCCAGCCAUGCCGCGUGAGUGAAGAAGGACUUCGGGUUGUAAAGCUCUUUCGGCCGGGAAGAAAUCGCACAGGCUAAUACUCUGUGUGGAUGACGGUACCGGCAUAAGAAGCACCGGCUAACUACGUGCCAGCCGCCGCAGUAA